GGUUCGGCUCGCCGCCGGGGACCCCCUGCACGUGGACACGGUCCUCGAGCGGAAUCUCCGCCCAGAGACGGCGCCGAUGGGGCCCAGCCGCGGAGUCGGCUGGCUGCAGCGGCGGAGCGGGAGGUGGCGGGCAGACAUCGGUCUUGGUGGGGAGCUCCACGAGGAGCUGGGCGACCUCGGUCUCCUCGGUGUCAACGGGGAGGGGGAAGUGCCCGACGGCGGCGGCGGAGGCUGAGCGAAGCCUCCGGGCGGCGGCCUUGCAGUUGUGGCAAGCGAAGGACGCCUCGCCGCGGACGUAGCGG
Molecule: long non-coding RNA, 302 nt
Filed under: Musa acuminata (dwarf banana)
Lineage: Eukaryota; Viridiplantae; Streptophyta; Magnoliopsida; Zingiberales; Musaceae
Description: long non-coding RNA (MACU_LNC002780)
Source: RNAcentral